GGAAAUGGGUGCUCUAGUGUUAAUGGCUCAGAAGAAGAGAAUUCUGAAUACCAUAUUGCUGAUGAGGAGGAGCCCAGUACUGCAACUGCCGGCUCUGAGGAUCACUCUGAAUCAGAUAUCUUUGAAAUGCAGUUAUUAAUGAUGACAUCCCUUGAUUAGGAGAAACAGACCAGACAAAUGCUUAAUAUGCACCCAGAUCUUCCUAUUACAUCUCUUGGUGAGUUAUGUGUUACUUUUCUUUUAUUUUCUUUUCUGCUUUUCUUUCUUUUCUGAUUUUGAGUAGAUUUCUUAAUUAAGACCAAUCUUCCAGAACUUAAUUAACUGGGUUGAUGGAUUGGUGAGGGGAUUAUUCUAGUGAAGGAGGAGGAGCAGAAGCAAAGGCAGGAGAGUAGGGAAAAGGUUUUGUAACAGAACCCAAUCUUCCAGAAUCUAAUUGUUGUUGUAUUGUUUUUCUUCAUUCUAC
Molecule: long non-coding RNA, 463 nt
Filed under: Vitis vinifera (wine grape)
Lineage: Eukaryota; Viridiplantae; Streptophyta; Magnoliopsida; Vitales; Vitaceae
Description: long non-coding RNA (VVIN_LNC007102)
Source: RNAcentral